GCGGUUGUGGUGGAACUGGUAGACACAUCAGCUUGAGGUGCUGACUCCUGAGAGGGAAUGAAGGUUCAAGUCCUUUCAACCGCA
Molecule: transfer RNA, 84 nt
Filed under: Candidatus Fibrimonadaceae bacterium
Lineage: Bacteria; Pseudomonadati; Fibrobacterota; Fibrobacteria; Candidatus Fibrimonadales; Candidatus Fibrimonadaceae
Description: tRNA-Leu
Rfam family: tRNA
About the family: Transfer RNA (tRNA) molecules are approximately 80 nucleotides in length. Their secondary structure includes four short double-helical elements and three loops (D, anti-codon, and T loops).
Source: RNAcentral